RNAcentral lists this long non-coding RNA (767 nucleotides) under Zostera marina. RNAcentral describes it as "long non-coding RNA (ZMAR_LNC001454)". The record is from RNAcentral. Lineage: Eukaryota; Viridiplantae; Streptophyta; Magnoliopsida; Alismatales; Zosteraceae.
AUGAAUCGGAAUUGCGUUGUUUAAUUUUUUGGGGAAAAAGAAAUGUAUAUAUCCAUGAAAAUGAUCGAUUUUGUUGAGUAUUGGUAGAUUUACUGUUGGGAAGUAUUUGUAGGCUUGUAGCAUGUAAUAUAAUAUAAUAUAUCGAUAGAUAGAUAUGAUUAUAUGAUAGAAGUUGGGAGGAAGAUAGAAAGAUAGUUAGAAAUUAAUGUAUAACACGAGCAUUAACAACAACACUGCAAAUCGCAGCAUAUUAUAUAUUUUAUUUUCUCUUUUCCUGUGUUACUUGUUUGAUUUUAUCACUUAAUAAAAUGACCAAAUUACCCCUUGACAAUUUAUUAUAAUAAUUAAAUAUAAUCUAUGUUACGGAGGACUGCCGAUCUCUGUGGAAGGAAUAUCUGAGAUAAUGGACGUGGGCAGUGGCGAAGAUCUUGCUGGGUCGGUGGAGUGUUGCAUGUGUGGUGAUCUUGGUGUAAUCAAGGAACUGUUCCGGUGCAGAUCCUGUCAUUCCAGAUACCAACAUAAGUAAAUUCCCAAUUCCCAAUUCCAUGUAUUUACUUACUAUGGAUUGAUUUAAAAAGAGAAUCGAUUCUUAAUUUCAGGUAUUGCAGCAAUCUCUACCCAAAAGUGGAGUCCUACAGAUCAUGCAACUGGUGUUUGACCGACGAAGACGCCAAGAAGACGAAGAAAAUUGCAGCAAUCUCAAGUUCCGGCGCUACUACAUCUGAUGGAAAUUGCUUGAAGAGAGGUAGUUUGUCCCUGUGGGAAUG